CCCAGGUCCAAGAGUGACAACAUCGGGGCUGCCUUCGGGCGAGCCGUUCGCGUUGCUGGCGGAUAGCUGGAGGGGGACGCAGGAAGGUAGGUGAACCGGGGCGAUGGUUGUCCCCCGGUAAGCGUGUAGGAGGAUCCCGAUGAGAGUUGGGGUCAUUAACUCUGAGACGUGAUGCCGAGCCGAUUAAGGCGAAGUCACUGAUCCUAUGCUGCCAAGAAAAGCCCAACAGUGAGUUGGCACGGCACCCGUACCCCAAACCGACACAGGUGGGCGGGUAGAGAAUACCAAGGCGAUCGGGAGAACUAUGGUUAAGGAACUCGGCAAAUUGCAUCCGUAACUUCGGGAGAAGGAUGACCCUAUUAGGGUGAAGGGAUUUACUCCCAGAGCUCGAGAGGGUGGCACAGACCAGGGGGUAGCGACUGUUUACCAAAAACACAGCAGCGUGCCAAGCCGCAAGGCGCAGUAUACGCUGUGACGCCUGCCCAAUGCUGGAAGGUCACGGGGAACGGUUAGUCGUAAGGCGAAGCUGUGAACCUAAGCCCCAGUGAAUGGCGGCCGUAACUAUAACGGUCCUAAGGUAGCGAAAUUCCUUGUCGGGUAAGUUCCGACCUGCACGAAUGGCGUAACGACUUCCCCACUGUCUCAACCAUAGGCCCGGCGAAAUUGAAGUACGAGUAAAGAUGCUCGUUAGCUGCGGAAGGACGAAAAGACCCCAUGGACCUUUACUAUAACUUGAUAUUGAGCUUUGUCCUGCAUUGUGUAGGAUAGGUGGGAGACUUGGAAGCGGAGGCGCCAGCUAUCGUGGAGUCAACGUCGAAAUACCACCCUGUGUAUGACGGGGCUCUAACCUGGGUCCAUUAUCUGGAUCAGGAACAGUGUCAGGCGGGUAGUUUGACUGGGGCGGUCGCCUCCUAAAAUGUAACGGAGGCGCCCAAAGGUUCCCUCAGGCUGGUUGGCAAUCAGCCGUCGAGUGCAAUGACACAAGGGAGCUUGACUGCGAGACUGACAGGUCAAGCAGGUGCGAAAGCAGGGCAUAGUGACCCGGCCAUCACGUGUGGAAGUGUGGUCGCUCAACGGAUAAAAGGUACCCUGGGGAUAACAGGCUAAUCUCCCCCAAGAGUCCAUAUCGACGGGGAGGUUUGGCACCUCGAUGUCGGCUCAUCGCAUCCUGGGGCUGAAGCAGGUCCCAAGGGUUGGGCUGUUCGCCCAUUAAAGCGGUACGCGAGCUGGGUUCAGAAUGUCGUGAGACAGUUCGGUCUCUAUCCUCCGCAGCCGAAGGUGUAUUGAGGAAGGCUGUCCCUAGUAGGAGAGGACCGGGACGGACGGAGCUCUGGUGUGUCUGUUGUCCUGCCAAGGGCAUUGCAGAUUAGCCACCUCCGGAAGGGAUAACUGCUGAAAGCAUCUAAGUAGGAAACCCGUUCCAAGAUGAGUACACCCAUGCGGUUAACGCAGUAAGGCCCGUGACAAGACCAUCACGUUGAUAGGCCGGAGGUGUAAGCACGGUAACGUGUGUAGCCGACCGGUACUAAUCGGCC
Molecule: ribosomal RNA, 1535 nt
Filed under: metagenome
Description: bacterial LSU rRNA
Rfam family: Bacterial large subunit ribosomal RNA
Source: RNAcentral